This 490-nucleotide ribosomal RNA is filed under the name uncultured bacterium. Its description in RNAcentral is "partial 16S ribosomal RNA". It matches the Rfam family "Bacterial small subunit ribosomal RNA", at positions 30 to 507 of the family's 1533-position model. The record is from RNAcentral.
AUUGAACGCUGGCGGCAGGCCUAACACAUGCAAGUCGAACGGUAACAGGAAGCAGCUUGCUGCUUCGCUGACGAGUGGCGGACGGGUGAGUAAUGUCUGGGAAACUGCCUGAUGGAGGGGGAUAACUACUGGAAACGGUAGCUAAUACCGCAUAACGUCGCAAGACCAAAGAGGGGGACCUUAGGGCAUCUUGCCAUCGGAUGUGCCCAGAUGGGAUUAGCUAGUAGGUGGGGUAACGGCUCACCUAGGCGACGAUCCCUAGCUGGUCUGAGAGGAUGACCGGCCACACUGGAACUGAGACACGGUCCAGACUCCUACGGGAGGCAGCAGUGGGGAAUAUUGCACAAUGGGCGCAAGCCUGAUGCAGCCAUGCCGCGUGUAUGAAGAAGGCCUUCGGGUUGUAAAGUACUUUCAGCGGGGAGGAAGGGAGUAAAGUUAAUACCUUGGCUCAUUGACGUUACCCGCAGAAGAAGCACCGGCUAACUCCGUG